RNAcentral lists this ribosomal RNA (481 nucleotides) under uncultured bacterium. Its description in RNAcentral is "partial 16S ribosomal RNA". It matches the Rfam family "Bacterial small subunit ribosomal RNA", at positions 30 to 507 of the family's 1533-position model. The record is from RNAcentral.
UUGAACGCUGGCGGCAUGCUUUACACAUGCAAGUCGAACGGUAACAGGCCGCAAGGUGCUGACGAGUGGCGAACGGGUGAGUAAUGCAUCGGAACGUGCCCAGUCGUGGGGGAUAACUACUCGAAAGAGUAGCUAAUACCGCAUACGAUCUAUGGAUGAAAGCGGGGGACCGUAGGGCCUCGCGCGACUGGAGCGGCCGAUGUCAGAUUAGGUAGUUGGUGGGGUAAAGGCUCACCAAGCCAACGAUCUGUAGCUGGUCUGAGAGGACGACCAGCCACACUGGGACUGAGACACGGCCCAGACUCCUACGGGAGGCAGCAGUGGGGAAUUUUGGACAAUGGGCGCAAGCCUGAUCCAGCAAUGCCGCGUGCAGGAAGAAGGCCUUCGGGUUGUAAACUGCUUUUGUACGGAACGAAACGGCUCUGGUUAAUACCCGGGGCUAAUGACGGUACCGUAAGAAUAAGCACCGGCUAACUACGUG